GACGGACGCUGGCGGCGUGCUUAACACAUGCAAGUCGAACGGAAAGGCCCUGCUUUUGUGGGGUGCUCGAGUGGCGAACGGGUGAGUAACACGUGAGUAACCUGCCCUUGACUUUGGGAUAACUUCAGGAAACUGGGGCUCAUACCGGAUAGGAGCUCCUGCUGCAUGGUGGGGGUUGGAAAGUUUCGGCGGUUGGGGAUGGACUCGCGGCUUAUCAGCUUGUUGGUGGGGUAGUGGCUUACCAAGGCUUUGACGGGUAGCCGGCCUGAGAGGGUGACCGGCCACAUUGGGACUGAGAUACGGCCCAGACUCCUACGGGAGGCAGCAGUGGGGAAUAUUGCACAAUGGGCGGAAGCCUGAUGCAGCAACGCCGCGUGCGGGAUGACGGCCUUCGGGUUGUAAACCGCUUUCGCCUGUGACGAAGCGUGAGUGACGGUAAUGGGUAAAGAAGCACCGGCUAACUACGUG
Molecule: ribosomal RNA, 468 nt
Filed under: uncultured bacterium
Lineage: Bacteria
Description: partial 16S ribosomal RNA
Rfam family: Bacterial small subunit ribosomal RNA
Source: RNAcentral